Non-coding RNA from Podarcis muralis (Common wall lizard), 377 nucleotides. The record is from RefSeq and is a predicted model, not a curated record. NCBI's taxonomy places the organism in Eukaryota, Metazoa, Chordata, Lepidosauria, Squamata, Lacertidae.
CACCUUGCGAUGGGCAGGGGUGGAAUACUCUUCCGACGGAGGAACCAUCACGGCUUUCUUGCCCGGGAUCCCCUCCACUCGACGCUUCGCCAAGGCACAAAAUCUGCACAACAUACCAAGAAUAACCAACUGAAAAUGGAUUGAGAUGCCCAGACAAGCAUGAUUAAUGCCAAGGCAGAGAGAGAAUGAACACACCCAUCAGCAAAUGCAGCAAAGCACACAGCAUGCGUGGAAACUGCCUUUCUGGAACUCUGAGACAACAGCAAAAGCAAGAGUCUUGUGACCUUUGAAGAUGUGGCCGUGUAUUUCAUAGAAAGCCAGGGUGCCCUGCUGGACCCAGACCAAAAGAUUUUGUAUAAAGAUGUCAUGAUGGAGAA